RNAcentral lists this ribosomal RNA (253 nucleotides) under uncultured bacterium. RNAcentral's name for it is "partial 16S ribosomal RNA". It matches the Rfam family "Bacterial small subunit ribosomal RNA", at positions 524 to 776 of the family's 1533-position model. The record is from RNAcentral.
UACAGAGGGUGCGAGCGUUGUUCGGAAUUAUUGGGCGUAAAGGGCGCGUAGGCGGCUUGACAAGUCACUUGUGAAAUCUCCGGGCUUAACUCGGAACGGCCAAGUGAAACUGUCAUGCUAGAGUGCAGAAGGGGCAAUCGGAAUUCUUGGUGUAGCGGUGAAAUGCGUAGAUAUCAAGAGGAACACCUGAGGUGAAGACGGGUUGCUGGGCUGACACUGACGCUGAGGCGCGAAAGCCAGGGGAGCAAACGGG